RNAcentral lists this ribosomal RNA (714 nucleotides) under Peribacillus butanolivorans. RNAcentral's name for it is "bacterial SSU rRNA". It matches the Rfam family "Bacterial small subunit ribosomal RNA", at positions 56 to 751 of the family's 1533-position model. The record is from RNAcentral. Lineage: Bacteria; Bacillati; Bacillota; Bacilli; Caryophanales; Bacillaceae.
UGCAAGUCGAGCGAAUCGAUGGGGAGCUUGCUCCCUGAGAUUAGCGGCGGACGGGUGAGUAACACGUGGGCAACCUGCCUAUAAGACUGGGAUAACUUCGGGAAACCGGAGCUAAUACCGGAUACGUUCUUUUCUCGCAUGAGAGAAGAUGGAAAGACGGUUUUGGCUGUCACUUAUAGAUGGGCCCGCGGCGCAUUAGCUAGUUGGUGAGGUAAUGGCUCACCAAGGCGACGAUGCGUAGCCGACCUGAGAGGGUGAUCGGCCACACUGGGACUGAGACACGGCCCAGACUCCUACGGGAGGCAGCAGUAGGGAAUCUUCCGCAAUGGACGAAAGUCUGACGGAACAACGCCGCGUGAACGAAGAAGGCCUUCGGGUCGUAAAGUUCUGUUGUUAGGGAAGAACAAGUACCAGAGUAACUGCUGGUACCUUGACGGUACCUAACCAGAAAGCCACGGCUAACUACGUGCCAGCAGCCGCCGUAAUACGUAGGUGGCAAGCGUUGUCCGGAAUUAUUGGGCGUAAAGCGCGCGCAGGUGGUUCUUUAAGUCUGAUGUGAAAGCCCACGGCUCAACCGUGGAGGGUCAUUGGAAACUGGGGAACUUGAGUGCAGAAGAAGAAAGUGGAAUUCCAAGUGUAGCGGUGAAAUGCGUAGAGAUUUGGAGGAACACCAGUGGCGAAGGCGACUUUCUGGUCUGUUAACUGACACUGAGG